GACAGAGGGUGCAAACGUUGUUCGGAAUUACUGGGCGUAAAGCGCGUGUAGGCGGCCCUGCAAGUCGGAUGUGAAAUCCCACGGCUCAACCGUGGAAGUGCAUUCGAAACUGCAGGGCUAGAGUCCUGGAGAGGAAGGUGGAAUGCUUGGUGUAGAGGUGAAAUUCGUAGAUAUCGGGAGGAACACCAGUGGCGAAGGCGGCGACCUGGGCCAAUACUGACGCUGAGGUGCGAAAGCGUGGGGAGCAAACAGG
RNAcentral lists this ribosomal RNA (253 nucleotides) under uncultured bacterium. RNAcentral describes it as "partial 16S ribosomal RNA". It matches the Rfam family "Bacterial small subunit ribosomal RNA", at positions 524 to 776 of the family's 1533-position model. The record is from RNAcentral.